GCUCGAGUGGCGAACGGGUGAGUAACACGUGAGUAACCUGCCCUUGACUUUGGGAUAACUUCAGGAAACUGGGGCUAAUACCGGAUAGGAGCUCCUGCUGCAUGGUGGGGGUUGGAAGUUUCGGCGGUUGGGGAUGGACUCGCGGCUUAUCAGCUUGUUGGUGGGGUAGUGGCUUACCAAGGCUUUGACGGGUAGCCGGCCUGAGAGGGUGACCGGCCACAUUGGGACUGAGAUACGGCCCAG
RNAcentral lists this ribosomal RNA (243 nucleotides) under uncultured Actinomycetales bacterium. RNAcentral describes it as "partial 16S ribosomal RNA". It matches the Rfam family "Bacterial small subunit ribosomal RNA", at positions 89 to 334 of the family's 1533-position model. Lineage: Bacteria; Bacillati; Actinomycetota; Actinomycetes; Actinomycetales. The record is from RNAcentral.